GCGGUGGAGCAUGUGGUUUAAUUCGAAGCAACGCGAAGAACCUUACCAGGUCUUGACAUCCCCUGACAACCCGAGAGAUCGGGCGUUCCCCCUUCGGGGGACAGGGUGACAGGUGGUGCAUGGUUGUCGUCAGCUCGUGUCGUGAGAUGUUGGGUUAAGUCCCGCAACGAGCGCAACCCUCGACCUUAGUUGCCAGCAUUCAGUUGGGCACUCUAAGGUGACUGCCGGCUAAAAGUCGGAGGAAGGUGGGGAUGACGUCAAAUCAUCAUGCCCCUUAUGACCUGGGCUACACACGUGCUACAAUGGGCGGUACAAAGGGUCGCGAACCCGCGAGGGGGAGCCAAUCCCAAAAAGCCGCUCUCAGUUCGGAUUGCAGGCUGCAACUCGCCUGCAUGAAGCCGGAAUCGCUAGUAAUCGCGGAUCAGCAUGCCGCGGUGAAUACGUUCCCGGGCCUU
RNAcentral lists this ribosomal RNA (455 nucleotides) under uncultured Anoxybacillus sp. RNAcentral describes it as "bacterial SSU rRNA". It matches the Rfam family "Bacterial small subunit ribosomal RNA", at positions 929 to 1382 of the family's 1533-position model. Lineage: Bacteria; Bacillati; Bacillota; Bacilli; Caryophanales; Anoxybacillaceae. The record is from RNAcentral.